AUUGAACGCUGGCGGCAUGCCUUACACAUGCAAGUCGAACGGCAGCGACGGGAGCAAUCCUGGUGGCGAGUGGCGAACGGGUGAGUAAUAUAUCGGAACGUGCCCAGUUGUGGGGGAUAGCCCGGCGAAAGCCGGAUUAAUACCGCAUACGACCUACGGGUGAAAGCGGGGGAUCGCAAGACCUCGCGCAAUUGGAGCGGCCGAUGUCAGAUUAGCUAGUUGGUGGGGUAAAAGCCUACCAAGGCGACGAUCUGUAGCUGGUCUGAGAGGACGACCGGCCACACUGGGACUGAGACACGGCCCAGACU
RNAcentral lists this ribosomal RNA (308 nucleotides) under uncultured bacterium. Its description in RNAcentral is "bacterial SSU rRNA". It matches the Rfam family "Bacterial small subunit ribosomal RNA", at positions 30 to 337 of the family's 1533-position model. The record is from RNAcentral.